GAUGAACGCUAGCGGCAGGCCUAACACAUGCAAGUCGAGGGAGAGGUUAUCUUCGGGUAACCAAAACCGGCGCACGGGUGCGUAACGCGUAUACAAUCUGCCUUUCACAUAGGGAUAGCCCGAAGAAAUUUGGAUUAAUACCUAAUGGUAUAUAAGAGCGGCAUCGUUUUUAUAUUAAAGCUACGGUGGUGAAAGAUGAGUAUGCGUUCUAUUAGCUAGUUGGAGAGGUAACGGCUCCCCAAGGCGACGAUAGAUAGGGGUUCUGAGAGGGAUGUCCCCCACACUGGUACUGAGAUACGGACCAGACUCCUACGGGAGGCAGCAGUGAGGAAUAUUGGACAAUGGUCGGAAGACUGAUCCAGCCAUGCCGCGUGCAGGAUGAAGGUCCUAUGGAUUGUAAACUGCUUUUGUAAGGGAAGAAUAAGGAGUACGUGUACUUUGAUGACGGUACCUUACGAAUAAGCAUCGGCUAACUCCGUGCCAGCAGCCGCGGUAAUACGGAGGAUGCGAGCGUUAUCCGGAAUCAUUGGGUUUAAAGGGUCCGUAGGCGGGCUGAUAAGUCAGAGGUGAAAGCGCUUAGCUCAACUAAGCAACUGCCUUUGAAACUGUCAGUCUUGAAUGAUUGUGAAGUAGUUGGAAUGUGUAGUGUAGCGGUGAAAUGCUUAGAUAUUACACAGAACACCGAUAGCGAGGGCAUAUUACUAACAAUUUAUUGACGCUGAUGGACGAAAGCGUGGGGAGCGAACAGG
RNAcentral lists this ribosomal RNA (749 nucleotides) under uncultured Capnocytophaga sp. RNAcentral's name for it is "bacterial SSU rRNA". It matches the Rfam family "Bacterial small subunit ribosomal RNA", at positions 28 to 776 of the family's 1533-position model. Lineage: Bacteria; Pseudomonadati; Bacteroidota; Flavobacteriia; Flavobacteriales; Flavobacteriaceae. The record is from RNAcentral.